UUGGUGGAGAGCGGAAGUGGCGCAGUAUUCUAGUCAGCACUGCCAAUCCUGAAGACGGGCCUAAAAAUCCGUCAAGGGCAUAUCGAUGAAGCUCCUUGUGCUGGCUGCCAACGCCCAGUUGGGAGCUGGUGCUGGGAGAUAAGGAAAUGGGGCGAUCCACAAUGGCAUGUGGGCGUUGACCCUGUUUCCGUUGAGGCCUAAGUAUGUAAUCCGAGGUGGAUUACGGCUUAGGGGUAAACCUGUUUCGCGGUUAAAAGCUGUGAGCAGUGUAGCCUGCCUUGAGUGAAAAAGGUGGAGAUGAGGUUCGAAUUUUAUCUCGAUGGCCUAAGAGAUAAAAUUUUUGCUCAUUGAAACCUUUUUUGCAAAAGAGGCUAGGGGUUGGUAAGGCUGUUGAGGAAAGCUCCUAGACUGUACUUAUAUAGUGGCAUGUCAGAGAUUACAGUGUAGUCUUAGUGGUAAUCCAGUCCUAUCAUUGGCGACAUGAUAGAAAUGGGUUUAAAGGGAAACCGCCUUUUUGGCGACAAAGAGGUACCCAUUUGGGAAAUCCUACUGGACCUAAGCUGCAAAAUUUAUCUGGCAUGCUGCCACUUCCGUACUACAUAUA
Caldanaerobius fijiensis DSM 17918 is the source of this 604-nucleotide non-coding RNA. The record is from Rfam. Lineage: Bacteria; Bacillati; Bacillota; Clostridia; Thermoanaerobacterales; Thermoanaerobacteraceae.